AAAAGGUUGAGGAUUUCAAGGUAAUAUAUCAGUUGUAAUUCAUAGCCAUGCAGUGAUUCAUCUGCAGCAUGGUAAUUUUUGUCAUGGAAGAUUACGCAUCAUCAUGCUUGAGUUUCAAUACAUCCAUGGUAGUAGACUUAUUAUAUCUUUUGUUGGCGUAAAUGUGUUGUCCUAUAUGAGCAGGUUGGGGAUUGGGUGAGAGUG
This 204-nucleotide unclassified non-coding RNA is filed under the name Hevea brasiliensis (rubber tree). The record is from RNAcentral. Lineage: Eukaryota; Viridiplantae; Streptophyta; Magnoliopsida; Malpighiales; Euphorbiaceae.